Long non-coding RNA from Lytechinus variegatus (green sea urchin), 805 nucleotides. RefSeq lists it as uncharacterized. The record is from RefSeq and is a predicted model, not a curated record. Lineage: Eukaryota; Metazoa; Echinodermata; Echinoidea; Temnopleuroida; Toxopneustidae. The transcript has 3 exons.
CGCGUGUGUGUGGGUUUUUGUGAGCGUUAAGAGGGUUUGCGGACGGGUUAUUGUAGGGAAGGCUUUAAUACGCCACGGUUUCGUUUCGUCUGGCUAAAGCUCUAUAGCGCACCAUACACCGAGCAUUUGUAUAGCCAGUCAAUGCGGGGAGAAUACCCUAUAAGGACCUACAAUGCCCCCAUUUUCCAUGGGCUUUUAUGCCGAGACCUUCCUAUUGCUAAAGAGGAAAAGAACCCAUUCCUUUAUGCUGUUCUUUGCAAAACAUUGACAAAACCCCAAACCUUGCCUUUUCUCUACCCGACUGUAUGGGGUUAAGUAGCGUAGUUUAAUGUAUGGGUUUUUCAUUUCGAAUGAAGGAGCUCAGGCGAUAAGGUAAAAAAAAUAACGGUGUGGGAGAGCAGAAAAUGGGAGAAAAAUAUGGAAUUUGUGCCGUAAAAAGGAUCUUUAUCAAUAAAGAGAAGGGAAGUUUGGGAAAUCCGCUAGACAGAAGGAUGAGAAAUUCACCGAUCAAUAUAAGUGACGUUUAGCGUAGAUAUGAGGAAGAGGCGAACUUCUCCGGUGGGUUGAACGAGGCGCCGCCCGAUCCCACCGGGCUCGAGAUCCGAGGUGAAGCUCCAUCAAUACGAGACCAAAAACGGACCAGCCCUGUUCCCCCUUCAUUGCACUUCUUGGUUCAGACGAAAGCUCCCCGGUGAAUGAGGGAUGGGAACGUAUCCAUUUAGGCAUCGUUACGUAGGGUAUGGGGCGCCUUGGAAUGUCAGACAGAGCAUAGUGCAAAACUAACGGCCUCCGUGACCUCAGUAUA